Orbicella faveolata is the source of this 1668-nucleotide long non-coding RNA. The record is from RefSeq and is a predicted model, not a curated record. Lineage: Eukaryota; Metazoa; Cnidaria; Anthozoa; Scleractinia; Merulinidae.
UAAUAGCUAAUUGGGGACACCUAAAAGAGUUACAGUUACAAUGAGUGUUGGUGUAUGACCUUGCAACUGAAGUCAGAUUUGAAAGCAAUGAACAAACAAAUAACACUCUAAGACUGUGCACCCAGGCUCAGAGGAUAAAAAAACUUGGAAAUUAAAAGGCUAACUACCCUGAAACCUCUUAUUUGAUAUUCUCGCCUUAUGUGAUUACAACACGUUCAUCUUAGGUAGUAGAUACAGAUGCCCGUUUGGCUGGGCCUUCAGAUGCAUAAGAAACAAAUACAGGAGGUUUCAGUGUAAGUGCUGGAGGCGUCAUUACCGAGGAAGAGGUAGAGAUGAGCCAGUGAACAACUACUGAAAUCCUCGGAAAAGAAGAUAUCGAAGAAAUUUAAGUGAGGUGGCUUGUCUCCUCUUGCCUUCGACAUAACUUGAGAAACUCUAAUAAAGGAAAACCACAAGGGGAACCAAUAAGAAGAGCCAGAUUAUUCUGGUAGACGCAGAGCAGUAAAAUUCCUUCACAACAACGGAUUCAAAUGAUGUACCCUUUAAGGAAUAAUAAAAAGUCAACGAGGAGGGGGAAAAUGUUUGUUGCUUCUUCGAACACCCCCUCCCCUCCCCCAUUUUUAAAUGCCCUUGUAUGUGCUUACCAAAACGCACCAAAACCUAUUUAAUUUGCGAAACGUUUUCCUCUUUAGCAUGUCCAUCGAAAGUUUUAAAGUAACUCGAUUUCGUAUCAUUAUGGGACCUGGUGUUGGACUAGCAUCCCACCAAGGGAGUGGAGAGAGUUACAACCCCCCAGUUGUUUCGUUCUAUAGAGAGCGAGAUCAGCUGUGGCAAUUGGAAUCAUUUUGGAUCGAGUGCAACUAGCCUUUAACUUACCUCCAUCGGGAUAGCAAUAAAAGGGGCUUGGUUUGCCCAUUUUCGAGCUUAGUUUUCACUCACCAAACAUCAUUCCUACUAAAGUUCUCCAUAUAAUCGUCAUAACUUUGUCUCGAAUCUCAACGACACAUAUGACAAGCUGCAAAUGGUAAUUAUGAUAAAACACUGUAUUGAAUUUGCAUACAAUAUGCUAUUUUUAAUUCGAAACUUGACCCCACAAGCAAUUCACGUCGGUAUGAUUAAAGAAUGUUAUUACUGCUGUUGUUGAUGUUGUUAUUAUUGUCGUAUUUUCACCGUCACGCAGACAAAAGGCAAAAGGACAUCUGAAUGAAAUUAUUAUUGUCGAUAAAUCGGUUUUUUAGCAUACUUUUAGUAUAAUAGCUGUAAAAAAAACUUUAAUACGACCAAUCAUUUUCACGACAACACUUUCAUAACACAACGUUGGUGGCUUUACAGGAGGUCCGUCAUUGCACCUUUACGAUUGAAGCUGGCAAUUGCAUCGUAAAUGCUUAUAUCAUUUAAGCAUGCAGGUUGACUGAACAUGGUUUACAGCAAAGAUAAGGUAUGAAACCCUUAAUAACUACCACGGUCACUUCACUAACCGUAAAUAAUUACUAUAUGCAAACAGUGCUCUAUAAGAGUGAAUCAAAAGACGCGUCAGAAACAUUUCAAGUACUAUAUCAAGCACGAGAGACAGUGUUUCAUCGGGAUAUCAAAACACCGUGAAGAGCGUCGAAAAUACGACGCGCAGCGGAGUAUUUUUGUCGAAAUUCGAGGUGUUUGGAUAGCCGA